GACGAACGCUGGCGGCGUGCCUAAUACAUGCAAGUCGAACGAACCGCGACCAGGUGCUUGCACUUGGUCAAGGUGAGUGGCGAACGGGUGAGUAACACGUGGGUAACCUACCUCAUAGUGGGGGAUAACAGUCGGAAACGACUGCUAAUACCGCAUAGGACAUAGGAUCACAUGAUCCAGUGAGGAAAGGUGGCGCAAGCUAUCGCUAAGAGAUGGACCCGCGGUGCAUUAGCUAGUUGGUAGGGUAAAGGCCUACCAAGGCGAUGAUGCAUAGCCGACCUGAGAGGGUGACCGGCCACAUUGGGACUGAGACACGGCCCAAACUCCUACGGGAGGCAGCAGUAGGGAAUCUUCCGCAAUGGACGCAAGUCUGACGGAGCAACGCCGCGUGAGUGAAGAAGGUCUUCGGAUCGUAAAGCUCUGUUGUUAGAGAAGAACAGCGCAUAGAGUAACUGUUAUGCGUGUGACGGUAUCUAACCAGAAAGCCACGGCUAACUACGUG
This 502-nucleotide ribosomal RNA is filed under the name uncultured bacterium. RNAcentral describes it as "partial 16S ribosomal RNA". It matches the Rfam family "Bacterial small subunit ribosomal RNA", at positions 28 to 507 of the family's 1533-position model. The record is from RNAcentral.